Molecule: ribosomal RNA, 386 nt
Filed under: uncultured Streptococcus sp.
Lineage: Bacteria; Bacillati; Bacillota; Bacilli; Lactobacillales; Streptococcaceae
Description: bacterial SSU rRNA
Rfam family: Bacterial small subunit ribosomal RNA
Source: RNAcentral
CUUAUUUCUAGAGAUAGAAAGUUACUUCGGUACAUCGGUGACAGGUGGUGCAUGGUUGUCGUCAGCUCGUGUCGUGAGAUGUUGGGUUAAGUCCCGCAACGAGCGCAACCCCUAUUGUUAGUUGCCAUCAUUCAGUUGGGCACUCUAGCGAGACUGCCGGUAAUAAACCGGAGGAAGUGGGGAUGACGUCAAAUCAUCAUGCCCCUUAUGACCUGGGCUACACACGUGCUACAAUGGUUGGUACAACGAGUUGCGAGUCGGUGACGGCGAGCUAAUCUCUUAAAGCCAAUCUCAGUUCGGAUUGUAGGCUGCAACUCGCCUACAUGAAGUCGGAAUCGCUAGUAAUCGCGGAUCAGCACGCCGCGGUGAAUACGUUCCCGGGCCUU